RNAcentral lists this ribosomal RNA (1342 nucleotides) under Lactiplantibacillus plantarum subsp. plantarum. RNAcentral describes it as "Lactobacillus plantarum subsp. plantarum 16S ribosomal RNA". It matches the Rfam family "Bacterial small subunit ribosomal RNA", at positions 93 to 1422 of the family's 1533-position model. Lineage: Bacteria; Bacillati; Bacillota; Bacilli; Lactobacillales; Lactobacillaceae. The record is from RNAcentral.
GAGUGGCGAACUGGUGAGUAACACGUGGGAAACCUGCCCAGAAGCGGGGGAUAACACCUGGAAACAGAUGCUAAUACCGCAUAACAACUUGGACCGCAUGGUCCGAGCUUGAAAGAUGGCUUCGGCUAUCACUUUUGGAUGGUCCCGCGGCGUAUUAGCUAGAUGGUGGGGUAACGGCUCACCAUGGCAAUGAUACGUAGCCGACCUGAGAGGGUAAUCGGCCACAUUGGGACUGAGACACGGCCCAAACUCCUACGGGAGGCAGCAGUAGGGAAUCUUCCACAAUGGACGAAAGUCUGAUGGAGCAACGCCGCGUGAGUGAAGAAGGGUUUCGGCUCGUAAAACUCUGUUGUUAAAGAAGAACAUAUCUGAGAGUAACUGUUCAGGUAUUGACGGUAUUUAACCAGAAAGCCACGGCUAACUACGUGCCAGCAGCCGCGGUAAUACGUAGGUGGCAAGCGUUGUCCGGAUUUAUUGGGCGUAAAGCGAGCGCAGGCGGUUUUUUAAGUCUGAUGUGAAAGCCUUCGGCUCAACCGAAGAAGUGCAUCGGAAACUGGGAAACUUGAGUGCAGAAGAGGACAGUGGAACUCCAUGUGUAGCGGUGAAAUGCGUAGAUAUAUGGAAGAACACCAGUGGCGAAAGCGGCUGUCUGGUCUGUAACUGACGCUGAGGCUCGAAAGUAUGGGUAGCAAACAGGAUUAGAUACCCUGGUAGUCCAUACCGUAAACGAUGAAUGCUAAGUGUUGGAGGGUUUCCGCCCUUCAGUGCUGCAGCUAACGCAUUAAGCAUUCCGCCUGGGGAGUACGGCCGCAAGGCUGAAACUCAAAGGAAUUGACGGGGGCCCGCACAAGCGGUGGAGCAUGUGGUUUAAUUCGAAGCUACGCGAAGAACCUUACCAGGUCUUGACAUACUAUGCAAAUCUAAGAGAUUAGACGUUCCCUUCGGGGACAUGGAUACAGGUGGUGCAUGGUUGUCGUCAGCUCGUGUCGUGAGAUGUUGGGUUAAGUCCCGCAACGAGCGCAACCCUUAUUAUCAGUUGCCAGCAUUAAGUUGGGCACUCUGGUGAGACUGCCGGUGACAAACCGGAGGAAGGUGGGGAUGACGUCAAAUCAUCAUGCCCCUUAUGACCUGGGCUACACACGUGCUACAAUGGAUGGUACAACGAGUUGCGAACUCGCGAGAGUAAGCUAAUCUCUUAAAGCCAUUCUCAGUUCGGAUUGUAGGCUGCAACUCGCCUACAUGAAGUCGGAAUCGCUAGUAAUCGCGGAUCAGCAUGCCGCGGUGAAUACGUUCCCGGGCCUUGUACACACCGCCCGUCACACCAUGAGAGUUUGUAACACCC